AGUUCCCGCGUUCGAUCGUUCACUGUUGGCGACGGCCGACGCCGGUUUGCUUGUCACUCGAAAUCCGUCGUACAAACAGUACAACCCAGGGGUGGUGGUGUUGGUGGAGCUGGUGUUGUAGCGGACGCGACCGCCGGUCGAUACAACGUAUACUCGUUACCACGGUAUACUAUCACAGAAUAGAUAGUUAACUGAUACUGAUACUACCUAAUCGUAGGCUAGCCGCUCUUGUUUCGUUUCUCCUGUAGUUGCUGUUUCUAGUUUUUUUUUUUAUCGUUAACCGUUUCGCGUCCGUGACCUGUGUAUGACGACUGCGUUCCGUCGGUGUUCGUUUUCUCCAUCGCGUUUUCGUUCGUUUACAUUUUAACUUGAAGUAACGGCGAACCUCUCGUCUCGUAAUUCGAACGUCCGUCCUCGGGUGUUGGUUAUUUUUGGCUGCGACGGAAUUCACGUAACACGUCAUCGUUAUUUUGUUUACAACGCUCAAAUUGUCUGCCUACUUUUAUUUUUCCCUGGACAUUUAUCACAGAUUCGCACAAGGCCAUGUUACCAUGUGACUUGCCAUAAGUGUAUGCCGCGGCCGAUGUAUUUCUCCAAGGAAUGUGGCAAGUUAUUGAGAGAGCCAAUUCGGUACUAUGAAGUAUUGGAUAAAGGACAAUAUUUAAGAGAAUUUAGUAUGGCAUUUUCAAUCAAGAAUAGCCCAGGGGUUGCAUUUUUCUCAAAAAUGUAUCCAAUAGACGUUUCGACAACCAAUUAUAAUUCAACCAGCAUGAUCAAUAGAAAUUAUUCUAAUCAUAAGAUUGAAUUCAACGACUUCGGAUUUUGGUACAAAUUCGUCGAUAAAAUGCAUGGUAAAGCAACAGGAUAAAUUACUUUAUAGAUGCCAAGUGUGUUCUAAAUCCUUUGAUAGAUCACAUUGCGAAAGACCAUAAUCAGCCAGCUCAAUCAAGCUCAAAUGGAGAAAGAGAAACUGAAGACUUAUGAAAUCGGAACCAUCCAUGACUCAAGAAAAUAGCAAGUGAAGUCUCCUUUAGAUGAAGAUAAAAAUCAACAGGAUUACAACAAAGGCGCUGUCGAUAUAGAUAUGAUGUUGAACGGCAAUAUCUUCACUCAAGGAUCUGCAGAUGUUUAAAAAAAAGAAGAAACUGAUCAAGAAACUCCAAACAGUGUAAAAAAAAGUUUAUGUAGUUUAUGUUAGCCACAAUCUAUAAUAAUAAUCCUUCAAACAGUGGGGAUUCACAAAACAAAGCUAAAGUUAUAUAAAACUUAAUUAAAAGUUAGUAAUCAAUUUUAUUUUUAUAAGCUCCAGUAAAAUAAUUUAAAAUUUCCCUUUGGGUUUUUUUUUAUAUUUUUUUAUCAAUAACUUUUAAGUGGCAUAAAUUAGGAGACUGUAUUAUUUAUUAUAAUAUUAUAAAUUAAACCACUAUAUUUUUUAUAUUAAUUUUUUAGAUAAGGAAUAUAUUUAAAAAUGAAACUAAAAAGUUUGAUAGAUUUUGGAAUACAAUAAACAAUUCUAUUUAAUAAAUUACUUUAUUUAUACAAUAACUGAUGGUAAAAUUUAAAUUAAAUUAACAUAAUGCAAUAAUGUUUAAAAAAAUUGCCAAACAUUAGUUAGUUUCUACUAACAUAAAGUAAUUUAUUGUUUAAUAUUAGUGAUCUUCGAGGUGACCUUAUAAUAUAUUUUAACCAUGUACCUAAGUAAUACUUAUAUUCAAUUUCCAAUCAUACUUGUGUUAAAGGCAUUUUACAAACAUUUAAAUAUUCAUAAAUUGUUGUCAUAGUUUUAUAGUUUUUGUUAAAUUAUUAAUUAUGACAACUUUCAUACUUUGUAUACUGUAAAAUAGAAAAGUGAAAUUCUAUAAUUACUAUACAUAGAUAUAUAUGUAUUAGUUGUUUUACUCCGCGUCAUGAGAAAAUGCAAUCGCUGCAUUGCACUUUCAAAUGAUUUACUCGAGCAGUCGCGAAGCCAAUUUUCCUCUUCCAAGUGAUCACCAGUUACUGUAUACACUGCAAAUGCAAUAAAUACGCUGUUAUGCAUGAAGGCAGUCAAACGUAAUGUAAACAGAGUGAGAAUUAUAGUUGUAUUCUCUCAUGACACAAAGUAUAGUAAUUUUUAAUUUUGCUCAUUAUUUUUAAGCUAUUACAUCUUAAAUGUGGAAGCUAAAUAUUAAAUUACAAUAUUCAAAUCAUGAAUCCAAAAAUUUGUCAUAGUUUCAAUAAUUUUAUUUAAGUUUUUUUAAUACAAAUUUUAAACUAAAUAUUAAAUAACCUAUAUAGGUGUAUAAUAUAUACUACUAAAUAAUAGUGUCACCCAGGCUGCUCUCCUCAAACUCAUCACAAUGUAUAAUCUAUUUUCCUGAAUCGUAUUUACUUAUUUUGCCUUACUGUAGAGAUUGUAAAUUUUCUUAUAAAAAUAUAUAUAUAUAUAUUAAAUAAGAGUUAGUUUAUUUAAAAUUAUUCUGUAAUUUUUAAAAUUAUUAUUUUCAAUACAAGUUCUUUUAAAUAUGCAUUUGUUCAUAGUUUUUUAAGUUUGAGCUUAAUCAAUAAUUAAGACAACUCAAUUACAUCU
Metopolophium dirhodum (rose-grain aphid) is the source of this 2569-nucleotide long non-coding RNA. RefSeq lists it as uncharacterized. The transcript is spliced from 5 exons. The record is from RefSeq and is a predicted model, not a curated record. NCBI's taxonomy places the organism in Eukaryota, Metazoa, Arthropoda, Insecta, Hemiptera, Aphididae.